UACGUAUGGGGCAAGCGUUGUUCGGAAUUAUUGGGCGUAAAGGGCUCGCAGGUGGUUUGUUAAGUUGGUGGUUUAAUCUUUGGGCUCAACCCAAAGCCAGCCUCCAAAACUGACGAACUUGAGUACGAGAGGGGAUAGCGGAAUUCUCGGUGUAGCGGUGGAAUGCGUAGAUAUCGAGAGGAACACCAAUGGCGAAGGCAGCUAUCUGGAUCGUAACUGACACUCAUGAGCGAAAGUGCGGGGAGCAAACAGG
Molecule: ribosomal RNA, 253 nt
Filed under: uncultured bacterium
Lineage: Bacteria
Description: partial 16S ribosomal RNA
Rfam family: Bacterial small subunit ribosomal RNA
Source: RNAcentral